AUGGAUCUUGUCAUAGCCGCUGUCGCAGGUGAUCUCUCGAACCGUUUCAUCUCUUUCCUGAUGAACAAGUACGCAGAUCACGCGUGCUUGGAGGAGAAGGUGGAGAGGCUGCAACACCUCUUGCUGAGAGUUGGCAUGGUCGUCGAGGAGGCAGACUCGCGGUACAUCACCAACUCUUGUAUGCUCAUACAGCUGAAGACCCUAGCAGCAGCCAUGUACCAAGGCCACCAUGCGCUUGACACCAUCAAGUAUGGAAAACACAAAGAUGUUGCUGAGGAAUUGGUAUGUGACGCAUCCGCCUUACCUGUUUCUACUCCUUACAAACGUUCUCGCACAAUCGGUACUCGUGGAACAAACAAGGUUCUCGAACCAGACUUGCAAAGUGCGCUGCAGAACCUAGAGGCUAGUGUUGCUAACAUGGCGGAGUUUGUCGUGCUUUUGGGGGGAUGCGAGCGCAUCUCUCGUAGACCCUAUGAUGCAUAUCUUUACAUCGAUAACUUCAUGUUUGGUCGCCAUGUCGAGAGGCAGCAGAUCAUCAGGUUCUUGCUGGACCACAACACUCCUGGUUCUCCGGCCGUGCUUCCAAUCAUUGGUGACGCUGGAGUUGGGAAGAAAACUCUUGUGGUCCAUGUAUGCAAUGAUGAGAGGGUGCGUUCUCACUUUUCUAUGAUUUUGCACCUGAAUGGAGAUGAACUAUUCAGAAUGACAGACCAUGAAAAAUUGUCAGGGAGGAUACUGAUAGUUAUUGAGUUUGUUUCAUAUAUAGAUGAAGAUGACUGGACAAUGUUCCAUAAUUUUUUUAUGAACAUGGACAGAGGAAGCAAGGUGAUGAUCGUAGGUCGAUUCGUAGAGCUAGAGAAGUUUGGAACUGUUAAACCUAUAUCCCUGAAAUGUCUGGCAUUAGAAGAGUUCAGGUACCUGUUCAAGACACUCGCAUUCGGAAGUGCGAACCCGACAGAUUAUCCUCGAUUAGUCGCGAUGGUGGAAGAGUUUGUCAUGGUGUUGGGAGGGUCACUCAUAUUAGCAAAUGUGCUUGCAGAUGCACUGAGGAAAAAUCUGGGUGCCCGUUUCUGGAUGUACAGGUUGAACGCGGUCAGAGAUAUGGUGAAGGCGAACAUUUCUUGUUUCGGCGCCCAUCCACAGGUGCUUCUGAAUCGAGGUCACCCAGUGCACCUAAUCGGCGGCAACAUUUUGACUCCUGCUGCUCCAUCGCACGUUCUAGACUGUGCUAUCGGUAUGGCUAAUGCUCCGGAAGAUGGUCUACCUAGGAUUAUGUUUGGGGACUUAAUAUCAGCAGCAGGUCACCUUGUCUUACCCAAAGGAGAUUUUAGGCUAAUUUCAUGGGAAUCAAGGCUACCGCCUUAUACACAAUUUAUUCACUUGGUGCACUCUGUUCCAAGCUGCCCCAAUGAUAAAACUGUAACAUCCUUGUCAGGGAAGAAGCGUCCGAGUUUAUUUGCCUAA
This 1464-nucleotide ribosomal RNA is filed under the name Triticum aestivum (bread wheat). Its description in RNAcentral is "partial small subunit ribosomal RNA". The record is from RNAcentral. Lineage: Eukaryota; Viridiplantae; Streptophyta; Magnoliopsida; Poales; Poaceae.